GCAAGUCGAGGGGCAGCAUUACUGCUUGCAGUAGAUGGCGACCGGCGGACGGGUGCGUAACGCGUAUGCAACUUACCCUGUACAGGGAGAUAGCCCAGAGAAAUUUGGAUUAAUAUCCCAUAAUAUCAUAGAGCAGCAUUGUUUAAUGAUUAAAGAUUUAUCGGUACAGGAUGGGCAUGCGUAUGAUUAGCUAGUUGGUAAGGUAAUGGCUUACCAAGGCAACGAUCAUUAGGGGGCCUGAGAGGGUGAAC
RNAcentral lists this ribosomal RNA (251 nucleotides) under uncultured bacterium. Its description in RNAcentral is "partial 16S ribosomal RNA". It matches the Rfam family "Bacterial small subunit ribosomal RNA", at positions 57 to 305 of the family's 1533-position model. The record is from RNAcentral.